UGGCGGACGGGUGAGUAAUGUCUGGGAAACUGCCUGAUGGAGGGGGAUAACUACUGGAAACGGUAGCUAAUACCGCAUAACGUCGCAAGACCAAAGAGGGGGACCUUCGGGCCUCUUGCCAUCGGAUGUGCCCAGAUGGGAUUAGCUAGUAGGUGGGGUAACGGCUCACCCAGGCGACGAUCCCUAGCUGGUCUGAGAGGAUGACCAGCCACACUGGAACUGAGACACGGUCCAG
RNAcentral lists this ribosomal RNA (235 nucleotides) under uncultured bacterium. RNAcentral describes it as "partial 16S ribosomal RNA". It matches the Rfam family "Bacterial small subunit ribosomal RNA", at positions 96 to 334 of the family's 1533-position model. The record is from RNAcentral.